CCCUUAGAGUUUGAUCCUGGCUCAGGACGAACGCUGGCGGCGUGCUUAACACAUGCAAGUCGAACGAGAGCGUAGAGAAAGCUUGCUUUUUCUACAAUCUAGUGGCAAACGGGUGAGUAACGCGUAAACAACCUGCCCUACGGAUGGGGACAACAGCUGGAAACGGCUGCUAAUACCGAAUACGUUCCGAAAGUCGCAUGACUAUCGGAAGAAAGGAUGGCCUCUAUUUAUAAGCUAUCGCCGGAGGAGGGGUUUGCGUCUGAUUAGCUAGUUGGAGGGGUAACGGCCCACCAAGGCGACGAUCAGUAGCCGGUCUGAGAGGAUGAACGGCCACAUUGGAACUGAGACACGGUCCAGACUCCUACGGGAGGCAGCAGUGGGGAAUCUUCCGCAAUGGGCGAAAGCCUGACGGAGCAACGCCGCGUGAGUGAAGACGGCCUUCGGGUUGUAAAGCUCUGUUAUACGGGACGAAUAAUCUUGUGGUUAAUACCCAUGA
Molecule: ribosomal RNA, 496 nt
Filed under: uncultured bacterium
Lineage: Bacteria
Description: bacterial SSU rRNA
Rfam family: Bacterial small subunit ribosomal RNA
Source: RNAcentral